RNAcentral lists this ribosomal RNA (594 nucleotides) under Triticum aestivum (bread wheat). RNAcentral describes it as "partial small subunit ribosomal RNA". Lineage: Eukaryota; Viridiplantae; Streptophyta; Magnoliopsida; Poales; Poaceae. The record is from RNAcentral.
AUGGCAGCAUCCAAACCCCAUCUCGCCUUGCUCCUCGCCGUAGUUCUGAUCGCCGCCACGCCGCAGCCUUCGGCGGCCGUCAGGGCCAAGCCCCCUGCCCCCUCCACCAGCAACGAUCCAGUAGCAAAACCAUCGGCAUGGUGCAUUCCCUGCUUUUCGUUUCUACCGCAGUUAUUCUGUAUACCACCGAUGUUCUGUCCACCAACGCCAAGUGCGCCGCCGCCGCCGCCACCACCAUCGAAGCCGCAGCCGAAAGAGUGUCUACCAUCUUUGAAGGGACUCAUGCCAUGCAAGGAUUACCUCACGAACAGAACCGCGCCGGCGCCUCCAAAGCAAGGCAAGUGCUGCGACGGCCUGAGGUCGCUCUUCCAGAACGCCCCCAUCUGCCUUUGCCGCAUAUCGGAGAACCGCGACCUCGACAAGCUCAUGUCAGCACCCCUGGAUAGAGCAAACUUCCUUGGUCUGGAGACAAUCUGUAACGCGGGUCUGACUGAUUAUGAAUCUUGCGAAGGUAAGUUAUUGCUCUCGGUACUAUACAAUGUUUUGUGCCUUAUCGUGCUCGUGUUUAAUUAUGCACGAUUUGAACCAUUUUGA